CAGCAAUGCCGCGUGAGUGAAGAAGGCCUUCGGGUUGUAAAGCUCUUUUGUCAGGGAAGAAACGGUAGAGGCUAAUAUCCUUUGCUAAUGACGGUACCUGAAGAAUAAGCACCGGCUAACUACGUGCCAGCAGCCGCGGUAAUACGUAGGUGGCAAGCGUUGUCCGGAUUUAUUGGGCGUAAAGCGAGCGCAGGCGGAAGAAUAAGUCUGAUGUGAAAGCCCUCGGCUUAACCGAGGAACUGCAUCGGAAACUGUUUUUCUUGAGUGCAGAAGAGGAGAGUGGAACUCCAUGUGUAGCGGUGAAAUGCGUAGAUAUAUGGAAGAACACCAGUGGCGAAGGCGGC
Molecule: ribosomal RNA, 344 nt
Filed under: Chloropicon mariensis
Lineage: Eukaryota; Viridiplantae; Chlorophyta; Chloropicophyceae; Chloropicales; Chloropicaceae
Description: partial Bacterial small subunit ribosomal RNA
Rfam family: Bacterial small subunit ribosomal RNA
Source: RNAcentral